This 244-nucleotide ribosomal RNA is filed under the name uncultured Staphylococcus sp. Its description in RNAcentral is "partial 16S ribosomal RNA". It matches the Rfam family "Bacterial small subunit ribosomal RNA", at positions 96 to 334 of the family's 1533-position model. The record is from RNAcentral. Lineage: Bacteria; Bacillati; Bacillota; Bacilli; Caryophanales; Staphylococcaceae.
CGGCGGACGGGUGAGUAACACGUGGAUAACCUACCUAUAAGACUGGGAUAACUUCGGGAAGCCGGAGCUAAUACCGGAUAAUAUAUUGAACCGCAUGGUUCAAUAGUGAAAGACGGUUUUGCUGUCACUUAUAGAUGGAUCCGCGCCGCAUUAGCUAGUUGGUAAAGUAACGGCUUACCAAGGCAACGAUGCGUAGCCGACCUGAGAGGGUGAUCGGCCACACUGGAACUGAGACACGGUCCAG